GCGCGAAACCUUCGCAAUGUGCGAAAGCAUGACGAGGUUAAUCCGAGUGGCAUCCGCUGAGGAAGUCUUUUGCCGGCUCUAAAACGGCCGGUGAAUAAGGGGAGGGCAAGCCUGGUGUCAGCCGCCGCGGUAAUACCAGCUCCUCGAGUGGUCGGGGCGAUUAUUGGGCCUAAAGCAUCCGUAGCCGGUUCCGUAGGUCCUCUGUUAAAUCCAGCCGCUUAACGGUUGGCCUGCAGAGGAUACCGCGGGACUAGGAGGCGGGAGAGGUGGGCGGUACUCUACGUGUAGGGGUAAAAUCCUUUGAUCCGUAGAAGACCACCAGUGGCGAAGGCGGCCCACCAGAACGCGCUCGACGGUGAGGGAUGAAAGCUGGGGGAGCGAACCGGAUUAGAUACCCGCGUAGUCC
This 406-nucleotide ribosomal RNA is filed under the name uncultured bacterium. Its description in RNAcentral is "bacterial SSU rRNA". It matches the Rfam family "Archaeal small subunit ribosomal RNA", at positions 339 to 747 of the family's 1478-position model. The record is from RNAcentral.